This 253-nucleotide ribosomal RNA is filed under the name uncultured bacterium. RNAcentral's name for it is "partial 16S ribosomal RNA". It matches the Rfam family "Bacterial small subunit ribosomal RNA", at positions 524 to 776 of the family's 1533-position model. The record is from RNAcentral.
UACGUAGGUGGCAAGCGUUAUCCGGAUUUACUGGGUGUAAAGGGCGUGUAGGCGGGGACGCAAGUCAGAUGUGAAAACCACGGGCUCAACCUGUGGCCUGCAUUUGAAACUGUGUUUCUUGAGUACUGGAGAGGCAGACGGAAUUCCUAGUGUAGCGGUGAAAUGCGUAGAUAUUAGGAGGAACACCAGUGGCGAAGGCGGUCUGCUGGACGGCAACUGACGCUGAGGCGCGAAAGCGUGGGGAGCAAACAGG